Molecule: ribosomal RNA, 817 nt
Filed under: uncultured Streptococcus sp.
Lineage: Bacteria; Bacillati; Bacillota; Bacilli; Lactobacillales; Streptococcaceae
Description: bacterial SSU rRNA
Rfam family: Bacterial small subunit ribosomal RNA
Source: RNAcentral
ACCGUAGUUUACUACACCGUAUUCUGUGAGUUGCGAACGGGUGAGUAACGCGUAGGUAACCUGCCUGGUAGCGGGGGAUAACUAUUGGAAACGAUAGCUAAUACCGCAUAAGAACAUUUACUGCAUGGUAGAUGUUUAAAAGGUGCAAAUGCAUCACUACCAGAUGGACCUGCGUUGUAUUAGCUAGUAGGUGAGGUAACGGCUCACCUAGGCGACGAUACAUAGCCGACCUGAGAGGGUGAUCGGCCACACUGGGACUGAGACACGGCCCAGACUCCUACGGGAGGCAGCAGUAGGGAAUCUUCGGCAAUGGGGGGAACCCUGACCGAGCAACGCCGCGUGAGUGAAGAAGGUUUUCGGAUCGUAAAGCUCUGUUGUUAAGGAAGAACGAGUGUGAGAAUGGAAAGUUCAUACUGUGACGGUACUUAACCAGAAAGGGACGGCUAACUACGUGCCAGCAGCCGCGGUAAUACGUAGGUCCCGAGCGUUGUCCGGAUUUAUUGGGCGUAAAGCGAGCGCGGGCGGUUAGAUAAGUCUGAAGUUAAAGGCAGUGGCUCAACCAUUGUAGGCUUUGGAAACUGUUUAACUUGAGUGCAGAAGGGGAGAGUGGAAUUCCAUGUGUAGCGGUGAAAUGCGUAGAUAUAUGGAGGAACACCGGUGGCGAAAGCGGCUCUCUGGUCUGUAACUGACGCUGAGGCUCGAAAGCGUGGGGAGCGAACAGGAUUAGAUACCCUGGUAGUCCACGCCGUAAACGAUGAGUGCUAGGUGUUAGGUCCUUUCCGGGACUUAGUGCCGCAGCUAACGCAUUAAGCACUCC